AUCUACAGCCAUACCACCCUGAAUGCGCCAGAUCUCGUCUGCUCUCGGAAGCUAAGCAGGGUUGGGCCUGGUUAGUACUUGGAUGGGAGACCGCCUGGGAAUUCUGGGUGCUGUAUGCU
Molecule: non-coding RNA, 119 nt
Organism: Myotis davidii
Lineage: Eukaryota; Metazoa; Chordata; Mammalia; Chiroptera; Vespertilionidae
Source: Rfam